Molecule: transfer RNA, 76 nt
Filed under: Armatimonadetes bacterium CG07_land_8_20_14_0_80_40_9
Lineage: Bacteria; Bacillati; Armatimonadota
Description: tRNA-Glu
Rfam family: tRNA
About the family: Transfer RNA (tRNA) molecules are approximately 80 nucleotides in length. Their secondary structure includes four short double-helical elements and three loops (D, anti-codon, and T loops). Further hydrogen bonds mediate the characteristic L-shaped molecular structure. tRNAs have two regions of fundamental functional importance: the anti-codon, which is responsible for specific mRNA codon recognition, and the 3' end, to which the tRNAs corresponding amino acid is attached (by aminoacyl-tRNA synthetases). tRNAs cope with the degeneracy of the genetic code in two manners: having more than one tRNA (with a specific anti-codon) for a particular amino acid; and 'wobble' base-pairing, i.e. permitting non-standard base-pairing at the 3rd anti-codon position.
Source: RNAcentral
GGCCCCUUCGUCUAGCGGUUUAGGAUACCGGAUUCUCAGUCCGAGGACAGGGGUUCGAGUCCCCUAGGGGCUACCA